Molecule: ribosomal RNA, 253 nt
Filed under: uncultured bacterium
Lineage: Bacteria
Description: partial 16S ribosomal RNA
Rfam family: Bacterial small subunit ribosomal RNA
Source: RNAcentral
UACGUAGGGGGCAAGCGUUAUCCGGAUUUACUGGGUGUAAAGGGAGUGUAGGUGGUUCGAUAAGUCAGAUGUGAAAGCCCGGGGCUCAACCCCGGGACUGCAUUUGAAACUAUCGGACUAGAGUGCAGGAGAGGUAAGUGGAAUUCCUAGUGUAGCGGUGAAAUGCGUAGAUAUUAGGAGGAACACCAGUGGCGAAGGCGACUUACUGGACUGUAACUGACACUGAGGCUCGAAAGCGUGGGGAGCAAACAGG